CCACGGUUUGUGCGACGCAGCUAACGCAUUAAGCGCCCCGCAUGGGGAGUACGAUCGCAAGAUUAAAACUCAAAGGAAUUGACGGGGCCCCGCACAAGCAGCGGAGCAUGCGGCUUAAUUCGACGCAACGCGAAGAACCUUACCAAGGCUUGACAUAUACAGGAAUAUGGCAGAGAUGUCAUAGCCGCAAGGUCUGUAUACAGGUGGUGCAUGGUUGUCGUCAGCUCGUGUCGUGAGAUGUUGGGUUAAGUCCCGCAACGAGCGCAACCCUCGUUCUGUGUUGCCAGCAUUUAGUUGGGGACUCACAGGAGACUGCCGGGGUUAACUCGGAGGAAGGUGGGGAUGACGUCAAAUCAUCAUGCCCCUUAUGUCUUGGGCUGCACGCAUGCUACAAUGGCUGGUACAAACGGCUGCGAUACCGCAAGGUGGAGCGAAUCCGAUAAAGCCAGUCUCAGUUCGGAUUGGGGUCUGCAACUCGACCCCAUGAAGUCGGAGUUGCUAGUAAUCGUAGAUCAGCAACGCUACGGUGAAUACGUUCCCGGGGCUUGUACACACCGCCCGUCACAUCACGAAAGUCGGUAACACCCAAAGUCAGUGCC
RNAcentral lists this ribosomal RNA (599 nucleotides) under uncultured Actinomycetes bacterium. RNAcentral's name for it is "bacterial SSU rRNA". It matches the Rfam family "Bacterial small subunit ribosomal RNA", at positions 832 to 1434 of the family's 1533-position model. Lineage: Bacteria; Bacillati; Actinomycetota; Actinomycetes. The record is from RNAcentral.